This 69-nucleotide transfer RNA is filed under the name Sciurotamias davidianus (Pere David's rock squirrel). Its description in RNAcentral is "tRNA-Phe". It matches the Rfam family "tRNA". Rfam says of the family: Transfer RNA (tRNA) molecules are approximately 80 nucleotides in length. Their secondary structure includes four short double-helical elements and three loops (D, anti-codon, and T loops). The record is from RNAcentral. Lineage: Eukaryota; Metazoa; Chordata; Mammalia; Rodentia; Sciuridae.
GUUAAUGUAGCUUAAACCAAAAGCAAAGCACUGAAAAUGCUUAGAUGGGUUCCAUUUACCCCAUAAACA